This 302-nucleotide long non-coding RNA is filed under the name Homo sapiens (human). RNAcentral describes it as "non-protein coding lnc-WDR72-1:4". The record is from RNAcentral. Lineage: Eukaryota; Metazoa; Chordata; Mammalia; Primates; Hominidae.
AAGUCCACGUGGCAAGGAACUAAGGACUCCUGCCAACAGCCAGACACAAACUGUGACCUCCUGCCAACAGGCAUGCGAAUGAGCCAUUUUAGAAGCUGACCCUCUAACCAUGUUCAAGCUUUCAAAUGACUGCAACCACUGCUGACAUGCUAAAUGCAACCACAUGAGAAACCCUGAGGCAGAAAAACCCAGGCUAGAGUACAAAUGUGAAUAACAUCACAUGCCAAUCAUUCAGGAGUUAUUCAAUAUGCACUGAUGACCCCAAGAGCAGUGAAAAUAACCGUGACAGAAGCUUCCUGAUG